This is a long non-coding RNA of Serinus canaria (Common canary), 529 nucleotides long. RefSeq lists it as uncharacterized. NCBI's taxonomy places the organism in Eukaryota, Metazoa, Chordata, Aves, Passeriformes, Fringillidae. The record is from RefSeq and is a predicted model, not a curated record. The transcript has 3 exons.
UGCAAGUAUAACACAGUUAGCAUUUUAAAAGAUUGCAUUUGUCUGUACACUGCAGGCGGCAAUUAUGAGCAGGAAAAUCUUUUGUGAAAGAUGGUAUGACCUUCCUUUUGGUGAAAGAGUGAUAAUGGCUUCUUGUGGAGAUGGUUUUCAUCAAGACGAGGCACAAGAAAAGCUCCAGCAACAGGACAAUACACAGGGGAAAUACCUUAAGGUCAUGCUAGAGUUAUCUUAAUGAUUGAAAGGUGUCAUUCAUAUUUUCUUCAUGAAGAAGGUGCAUUUUUCACUGACUGAUAUUCAGUGGGAUCUCAAAAAUGCUGAGGACAAGCCAGCAAACUGACAAAAGCAAACAAUUGGCAUAAAAAACCAAUGCAUCUACUGGAAAUGUAUGACCAGUAACAGAGAAGAUACCAAGUCAUUCAUGAAAACCCAGUGAAAUGCAAGAGUGAAAGAAGCAUAAUACAAGAAAAAUACAAGAGAAGAUUACUCAUGAGGAUUAAAAGGAGCAAAUGUUCAGUAAAUAUUUUUUUCC